CCGGGGCGCCUCCCCGACGGCCAGGAACGCCAAGCAGAAAGAUGUGCGAAAGGCACCGCCAAGUCUCUCGUUUUACCUCCCCACCUCUGCCCCGCCGCCCCGCACCUCCCGGGUCCCCGAUACUCACGGCGGGGCCGUCGGCCGUGGUGUAGCGGACGAUGAUCUGGAAGGGCUGGUGCGGCUGGAGGGCGGCGGGCAGGGACACGCUUUCAUCCAGGGAUAACCCACAGACCACAGCCCCAGCCGCUCCAGAUCUGACCCUGGAUGAUCUUCACCACAGCUAACGGCGAAGUCUCCUCAGGUGUCCAAGCUUGCACAGCUUCAGGACCUGGCUUUGGACUUACACCUUUUUAACUGCGAGCAACCCCUUUGGGUCAUUUUAGAAGAAUCCUGUGUUUUGAUUGAAGUCCCAAGCCAGUGCAACAGUUCCACUCAUCAGCUAGAUGAGUGGAGCAGAAACACAUUCUAAGAGUCUCUAAGCUUAUGAUAAUGAAUCGGGAUCGGCCGCACUCACUGCAUUUGGACAGAAUGUGCAAAACUGACGCAUCUGAAAUUCCCAGGGGUAAUACAGCAAACCAGUUACCUCAGGCCAAUCUCUAGUUGCACACCUGUUGGUCUUGGGCCACAGCCUUUGCUAUAUACUAAGAAGAAUGUGUUAUGUCCAUGCUAUUUUGGGUAAGAUCCCUUUAAGGAAAGCCUCUGUCCCAAUCCCAGUCUUAUUCUACUCCUCACAAGAUGAAGUCUUCUCUGGGAUAUCACACACUAAAUUCAAAAGCAGGACCCAAUUCCUGAAAACCUCUUGCAGAAUGCUUCAAAGAUAAAGAUAUUUCAGUCUUAUUUGCAAUUAUUGAUGUUUUUUUUCCUUCCACUUGAGUGACAGGGCCCUGGGCCAGGCUUCAGCUUGCUCCUGUGGUUCAGGACAAAAGCCAAUAAAAAGAAUUACUGUUGCUCAAGUGAGAAGCAACACUUCUGUACUGUCAGUGAGACAAGUGCUAAAUGAAGCAGAUAAGUAACUACAGAAGAAAUAACAUUUCCCUGUAAUAGUCUGUCUCCUUAGUUCCAAAGUAACAAUGCUGGAGCUAAACUUUAACAAAACAGUUGAGCUAAUCCCUGCUGUCCACAGGUGACUGUUCACCUGCUCCACCGCAGACCCUUGUUUGACACCUUGUUGGGCUAUUCCAGCUUGCUGAAGCAGCAGGAAAGUAUUCACCUUUUUAGGGGAGUAACUGGGAAGCAGCAGUUUGGUGCAACGAAUCCUGGGUGCAGUUUCCUCUCAUACCUACGCUAGUGUUACAGUUGGCGCCUACUGAAAAGAGCAGCCUCACUUCACCUCCCUUCCAGCUGUGCCUUCCUGUCUCCUUCUUUGUACAGCAUUCCUGCUUUUGGAGGGUGAACUUUCUGCAAGUUAUCUUUCUGAACAGGGUCACUGCUGGACCAAGCAAGAGCCACUGCUGGCAUCAGGAAAGUGGAAGCAACUCCCAGCCUGGAAGAAGAAGGAGGACAAGGUCAGGACGGCUCCCCUUUUGCCCAGACUGCCAUUACCUUAGCCUUAGCUGCAAAAUGAAGCCAGGCUCUGGCCCCAGUGACAUUUGAGAAAUAGGUACAUUAGUCCUUUUUCUUCAGGGGAAAUACUGAAGUUUGUGGGGUAAACUCAGUUCUGCAGGGCCCAAGACAAUCCCAUCCUCAACAGAGUAGCACAUGAAAACUGAGUGAACUCUUUUAACCACAGCUUUAGGCAGAUGCCUUUCACUUUCUUUCCCUCUCCCCUUAAUAUGUUCAGCCUUCAUCUUCACAUUCUACCCAGCUCUACUUUUAGGAAAGAAGCAGGGCAUUACCCCUUUGGCCUAUCACCCUGCUUCCUCAUGCCUCUCCACAGUUCCUUUUUGUCCUCAAGUUUCUGAUUAUAAAAGAACCCCCCACCUAGCUGGGUGUUUUUUGGAGACAGGCCUAUUACCUCUCCCUUUUGUAACCACAAUGUACAGUCACACUCUGUUCCCUGAACCGAGUAACACUGAGUAAAAUGGUGGCCAGGCCCUGACAGAGAGUAACCUUGGGUCCAGGGCUAUGAGCAGGGUAAGAUAUGUUAGUUAAUUCUUGCUUGGGAUAAGCCUCACUAAAGAACAACUAUAAUAAAUGAUGCUUUUUGUGCUAAA
Long non-coding RNA from Columba livia (rock pigeon), 2153 nucleotides. RefSeq lists it as uncharacterized. Lineage: Eukaryota; Metazoa; Chordata; Aves; Columbiformes; Columbidae. The record is from RefSeq and is a predicted model, not a curated record. The transcript has 2 exons.